GACGAACGCUGGCGGCGUGCUUAACACAUGCAAGUCGAGCGGUAAGGCCUUUCGGGGUACACGAGCGGCGAUCGGGUGAGUAACACGUGGGUGAUCCGCCCUGCACUCUGGGAUAAGCCUGGGAAACUGGGUCUAAUACUGGAUAUGACCUCAGCAUGCAUGUGCUGGGGUGGAAAGCUUUUGUGGUGCAGGAUGGGCCCGCGGCCUAUCAGCUUGUUGGUGGGGUAAUGGCCUACCAAGGCGACGACGGGUAGCCGACCUGAGAGGGUGACCGGCCACACUGGGACUGAGACACGGCCCAGACUCCUACGGGAGGCAGCAGUGGGGAAUAUUGCACAAUGGGCGGAAGCCUGAUGCAGCGACGCCGCGUGAGGGAUGAAGGCCUUCGGGUUGUAAACCUCUUUCAGCAGGGACGAAGCGUGAGUGACGGUACCUGCAGAAGAAGCACCGGCUAACUACGUGCCAGCCGCCGCGGUAA
RNAcentral lists this ribosomal RNA (478 nucleotides) under uncultured bacterium. RNAcentral describes it as "partial 16S ribosomal RNA". It matches the Rfam family "Bacterial small subunit ribosomal RNA", at positions 28 to 523 of the family's 1533-position model. The record is from RNAcentral.